Molecule: RNA transcript, 2229 nt
Organism: Carassius auratus (goldfish)
Lineage: Eukaryota; Metazoa; Chordata; Actinopteri; Cypriniformes; Cyprinidae
Gene name: zinc finger BED domain-containing protein 1-like
Exons: 4
Source: RefSeq, a predicted model, not a curated record
AUGUAGGGCUGCACAAUUAAUCGAAUUUCUAAUCGCGAUCACGAUUACAGAAGCCACGAUUACGUAAUCGUCCAAAGCCGCGAUUACACACACAAAAAAAAAAAAAUCUGCGCGCUUAAGAGGCGUGUUUAGAUAAUGUCAGGUUGUGAGUGGCGAAUCACCACUUUUAAUAAUAGUCUGUAGGCGUGUCAUUAUCAACGACAUUAUCCACUGAUACGUCUCAUGUCAUGUUAAUUCCAUCAUGUCUGCUGAUAGAGCAACAUCCGAUUCCGACAACGUGCAAAGUGCUCAUCCACAAUUAGAACCGAAAAGAAAAGCAACAUCAGUGGUGUGGAAUUAUUUCGGAUUCACCAGGGAUGACGUCGAUCAACGUGUUAUACUGUGUAAAUUGUGUCGAUCAACUGUUUCUGCACCAUCAAGCAACACCACAAAUUUAUACAACCAUUUAAAAUUCAACCACAGAGUGCAAUACGAGGAGUGUCUCAGCGUAAAAAAAAAAGCGCCAAGUGAUGCGAGAACUGCAACACAGACACCCAUCACGAAAUCUUUCUUUAAUGCUACUCCGUACCCGGCAGGUUCCCAAAAGCAGAUCGAGAUAACUGAAGCGAUCGCGCAUUUCAUUGCAAAAGACAUGGUGCCGAUUAAUACAGUUUGCAGCGCGGGGUUUAAAAAACUCAUAAACACACUGGACAAGAGAUACGUCACCUCCUCCCGCAAUUAUUUUUCUCAAGUUGCGCUGCCUUCGCUUUAUUCAAAAUGCCGGGAAAGCAUUGAAUCAGAUCUGCAGAAAAUUGAGUUCUAUUCCACCACGACUGAUUUAUGGUCGAGUAGAACUAUGGAACCAUAUAUGAGCCUUACGGUUCAUUACAUUGAUGACGAGUUUCAACUCAAAACCAGAUGCUUGCAAACGUCCUAUUUUCCGCAAGAUCACACCGGGGAUGCGAUUGCUCAAGGAUUGAAAGAGAUGCUGGGUGCCUGGGAUUUAAAGGAGGAGCAACAAGUCUGUGUCACAACAGACAACGCAGCAAAUAUAGUGAACGCUAUUGCUAUCAAUAAGUGGAGCAGACUUCAGUGUUUUGGACACAGGCUGCACCUAGCAAUUGAACAUUCUUUGAAAGAUGGACGGAUUGACCGUGCACUAAAUGUCUGCAAAAAGGUGGUAGGGUGCUUCUCCUAUAGCUGGAGACGAAGGAGGGAGUUGUCCGAGGCCCAGAAAGAGCUCAAGCUCAAAACAAGCAAUGAUCGCCAGGGUAUUGGAACAACAGAGUGCCAUUUCUUUUGUUCUCUCCGCGGACAGAAAAGCCAGACACCUUGUCCCCACAUGGCAGGAUGUAGAGGUCCUUGAGGCGGUCAACAACUCCCUUUCUCCACUUGCUGAAUUCACGGAUGCUCUUUCAGGAGAGCAAUAUGUAAGUGUGUCAUAUGUGAAGCCUGUUCUUCAUUUGUUCAACAAUAAAAUCUUGGCAGAGAAAGAGGGAGAAACAGAACUGUCAAAAUGCAUCAAGAAAAAGAUCCUGGACUACCUGAAUAAUAAGUAUGAUGAUCCACUGACUCAAGAUUUGCUUGACAUGGCUUCUACAAUUGAUCCCAGAUUCAAGCUAUAGUACGUCAAUGAGAACAGAGUUGAAGCUGUCAAGACUCGUUUGAGAGCUGAAAUGGCAUCAAUAUCUACUACAGUCAAGCCUCAACCAUCGGUGACUGUUAGAGAGGAUGCAGAUGACCAAAAUGCUCCAGCACUAAAGAAGACCAAAAAAACACUGGGCAGCUUCUUUAAAGUAGAUGAGGACCAGAGGCCAGCAUCGCCAUCUCUCAAUCUCCAAGACAUGGCCAUUACUGCAGAGCUACAGUCUUAUUUUCUAUCUGCUGCUGUUGAUAGUGAGGAGGAUCCUUUGGUCUGGUGGAAGGAACAUGCAAAACAAUUCCCAGCACUAUCCAAGUUGGCACAAAAGUAUUUGUGCAUUCCUGCCACAAGCUCUCCCUCGGAAAGAGUAUUCAGCACUGGAGGAAACAUUGUGAAUUGUUUGCGUGCAUCCCUAAAGCCUGAAAGUGUGGACAGGCUUGUGUUCCUAGCCAAAAAUCUUUAAAAGUCUAACUUGAUGUCGUUCAUUCCUGAAACCUUGAAGUGUUUUUAUGUCUUGUGUUAUAGGCCAAAAUACUUCAUAUGGCAAACUAAGUUUUUUUCUUUCUACAGGUUAUCUUGAGUUUUUCUAUUGUUUUAAUUUUAGUUUU